Molecule: ribosomal RNA, 896 nt
Filed under: Curtobacterium sp. Mb23
Lineage: Bacteria; Bacillati; Actinomycetota; Actinomycetes; Micrococcales; Microbacteriaceae
Description: bacterial SSU rRNA
Rfam family: Bacterial small subunit ribosomal RNA
Source: RNAcentral
UGCAAGUCGAACGAUGAUCAGGAGCUUGCUCCUGUGAUUAGUGGCGAACGGGUGAGUAACACGUGAGUAACCUGCCCCUGACUCUGGGAUAAGCGUUGGAAACGACGUCUAAUACUGGAUACGAUCACCGGCCGCAUGGUCUGGUGGUGGAAAGAUUUUUUGGUUGGGGAUGGACUCGCGGCCUAUCAGCUUGUUGGUGAGGUAAUGGCUCACCAAGGCGACGACGGGUAGCCGGCCUGAGAGGGUGACCGGCCACACUGGGACUGAGACACGGCCCAGACUCCUACGGGAGGCAGCAGUGGGGAAUAUUGCACAAUGGGCGAAAGCCUGAUGCAGCAACGCCGCGUGAGGGAUGACGGCCUUCGGGUUGUAAACCUCUUUUAGUAGGGAAGAAGCGAAAGUGACGGUACCUGCAGAAAAAGCACCGGCUAACUACGUGCCAGCAGCCGCGGUAAUACGUAGGGUGCAAGCGUUGUCCGGAAUUAUUGGGCGUAAAGAGCUCGUAGGCGGUUUGUCGCGUCUGCUGUGAAAUCCCGAGGCUCAACCUCGGGCUUGCAGUGGGUACGGGCAGACUAGAGUGCGGUAGGGGAGAUUGGAAUUCCUGGUGUAGCGGUGGAAUGCGCAGAUAUCAGGAGGAACACCGAUGGCGAAGGCAGAUCUCUGGGCCGUAACUGACGCUGAGGAGCGAAAGCAUGGGGAGCGAACAGGAUUAGAUACCCUGGUAGUCCAUGCCGUAAACGUUGGGCGCUAGAUGUAGGGACCUUUCCACGGUUUCUGUGUCGUAGCUAACGCAUUAAGCGCCCCGCCUGGGGAGUACGGCCGCAAGGCUAAAACUCAAAGGAAUUGACGGGGGCCCGCACAAGCGGCGGAGCAUGCGGAUUAAUUCGAUGCAACGC